Molecule: ribosomal RNA, 474 nt
Filed under: uncultured organism
Description: partial 16S ribosomal RNA
Rfam family: Bacterial small subunit ribosomal RNA
Source: RNAcentral
CACUCCUACGGGAGGCAGCAGUGGGGAAUAUUGCACAAUGGGCGCAAGCCUGAUGCAGCCAUGCCGCGUGUAUGAAGAAGGCCUUCGGGUUGUAAAGUACUUUCAGCGGGGAGGAAGGCGAUAAGGUUAAUAACCUUGUUGAUUGACGUUACCCGCAGAAGAAGCACCGGCUAACUCCGUGCCAGCAGCCGCGGUAAUACGGAGGGUGCAAGCGUUAAUCGGAAUUACUGGGCGUAAAGCGCACGCAGGCGGUCUGUCAAGUCGGAUGUGAAAUCCCCGGGCUCAACCUGGGAACUGCAUUCGAAACUGGCAGGCUAGAGUCUUGUAGAGGGGGGUAGAAUUCCAGGUGUACCGGUGAAAUGCGUAGAGAUCUGGAGGAAUACCGGUGGCGAAGGCGGCCCCCUGGACAAAGACUGACGCUCAGGUGCGAAAGCGUGGGGAGCAAACAGGAUUAGAAACCCUUGUAGUCCCAUG